Molecule: ribosomal RNA, 1088 nt
Filed under: uncultured bacterium
Lineage: Bacteria
Description: bacterial SSU rRNA
Rfam family: Bacterial small subunit ribosomal RNA
Source: RNAcentral
CGCUGGCGGCGUGCUUUAUACAUGCAAGUCGAACGAUGAAGUUCCUUCGGGAAUGGAUUAGUGGCGAACGGGUGAGGAACACGUGAGAAACCUGCCUUUCAUUCUGGAAUAACACCGGGAAACCGGUGCUAAUACCGGAUACUCCGUCUUGGCGGCAUCGCCGAGCCGGGAAAAAAUUUUGAUGAAAGAUGGUCUCGCGGCCUAUCAGCUAGUUGGUGAGGUAAUGGCUCACCAAGGCGACGACGGGUAGCCGGCCUGAGAGGGCGACCGGCCACACUGGGACUGAGACACGGCCCAGACUCCUACGGGAGGCAGCAGUAGGGAAUAUUGGGCAAUGGGCGCAAGCCUGACCCAGCGACGCCGCGUGAGGGAUGAAGGUCUUCGGAUUGUAAACCUCUUUCAGUAGGGAAGAAGCGAAAGUGACGGUACCUAAAGAAGAAGCACCGGCUAACUAUGUGCCAGCAGCCGCGGUAAUACAUAGGGUGCAAGCGUUGUCCGGAAUUAUUGGGCGUAAAGAGCUCGUAGGUCGUUUGUCGCGUCGAUUGUGAAAAUCUGAGGCUCAACCUCAGACCUGCAGUCGAUACGGGCAAACUAGAGUGUGGUAGGGGAGACUGGAAUUCCUGGUGUAGCGGUGGAAUGCGCAGAUAUCAGGAGGAACACCAAUGGCGAAGGCAGGUCUCUGGGCCAUAACUGACACUGAGGAGCGAAAGUGCGGGGAGCGAACAGGAUUAGAUACCCUGGUAGUCCGCACCGUAAACGGUGGGCACUAGUUGUGGGAACCUUCCACGGUUUCCGCGACGCAGCAAACGCAUUAAGUGCCCCGCCUGGGGAGUACGAUCGCAAGAUUAAAACUCAAAGGAAUUGACGGGGCCCCGCACAAGCAGCGGAGCAUGCGGCUUAAUUCGACGCAACGCGAAGAACCUUACCAAGGCUUGACAUAUAGCGAAAAGUGGCAGAGAUGUCAUGUCCGCAAGGGCGCUAUACAGGUGGUGCAUGGUUGUCGUCAGCUCGUGUCGUGAGAUGUUGGGUUAAGUCCCGCAACGAGCGCAACCCUCGUUCUGUGUUGCCAGCAUUUAGUUGGGGACUCA